Molecule: long non-coding RNA, 3118 nt
Organism: Ictalurus punctatus (channel catfish)
Lineage: Eukaryota; Metazoa; Chordata; Actinopteri; Siluriformes; Ictaluridae
Source: Ensembl
UGUGUGUGUGUGUGCGUGUGUGUGUGUAGGAUCACCUCAAAACAACAUAAACACUGGUCCAAUGGUGCUGCCUUUAUUAUGUAAUCACAUACAGUAUCUACCAUUAUUGUUUAUUAUUGCACAUUCACGUUAGCGGUACAGACAAUAGUGCAACUCUCUACAGACGCGCGACAUGACGCGCGACACGACGCGCGACACGACGCGUUACCGUGCGGCGUCCCGACUCGACACGCUUCGUCUUAGCGUAUGCGGCGUGAAGCUUUAAGAUGGUGGGCGGAGCUGCCUGCAGCUGCUUAAGUGAUGCUGUUGGACGGGGGACGGCGUGCGGAAAGGGAACGACGUUUCUACACGUAAUAGAAACGAAACCGCGACUCGCGCACACACUCAGAGGAGUCCGAAAAAACAACAAAAAAGUAUUAUUAUUAUUAUUUAAAAAAAAAAAAAAAUUCACAGCAAGAACUGUAUUUUUUUUUAACACUUUGAUAUCAUUCUUUAAUUUUUUAACGCUUUUUAAAACGUAUAUUAAAUGUUUUGUUUCUCUCUGUAAUACGUCGCUAGGUGAUUUCGUUGGCACUUUGGUUUGUUUUCACGGGCAGGUGUGAAGUCUGAUGCUCUCCGGUAAGACGACACGACUCUGUCUCGUGUACCGUAUCAUCCAUAAGCUGAUCUUUUGAUGUCUUAAGAUUUAUUCCAUCAGACUUGACGUUGACUGACCGUAUGUUCAUUAUUUGUAUUAUUAUUAUUAUUAUUCGUUCCAGGCACAGGUGGCAAGUCUUUCUUGAGGCACGGCUGAACGAACGAACUGGGCUCGAGCUUCACGUGCGAGUUCGGUGGUUAGGACAAAGAAAACGUAAAUAAAUAAACGUAUCAGAUCUGUUCUGAUCACCCUCGUACGUUUGGUCCGCGUGGAAAUAAACGGCGGUCGCGGCGUCUCUCGCGACCGACGGAUGCGUCGUUUGGGACGGCCCUCUCGAUACGGGGUCAAAAGAAAUAGACGAACUAUAUACAUCGGGACUCGGUGAUUAAUUAUUCUCGUGUGUGAUUAAUAAAGGAAUAUAAUACACAUAGGUUUUUUCUUCUUCUUCGUAAGGAGAUAUAAAAACAGGUAAUAAUAAUAAUAAUAAUAAAAAACAAAAAAAACACGUACAGAUAGAUGUCCAUAAAUUAAAAAAAAUAAUAAUAAAACAACGAAGUGACUUUAUACAUAUUAUCAAAAGCAAAAUGACGAUGAGGGAGUCAGCAGGUGCUGAGAUUAUUCGGGUACGGUUAUGUGCUGCACUGCGUGUGAGCUGUUAAUCCUACAGAAAUCCUACAUACGCGUGACGUAAGCCUUCAUACGGGUCGAGUAACGAGGCCUGGAUUAUUUCAUCUGGUUUAUUUUGAACCGGGAGCGAGGUCCGGAGAGACGACGGCGUCGUGUGGGGGAAGGUUACGCUUCGUUAAGAGAACCUGGAUUCCUGGUCGCGUCGGCUGUGAAGCGGACCUCCGGAAAAAAUCACGUCUUCCGGAUCCAAAAUGGCCGCCUCUCGAGAUUGAUAUAGAGAGGGUUUGUUUGAAGGAAACAGGAAAUAAGGCGCUAAAGAGGCGCUACGGAUGCUUUGGUUGGAAGGUGCGCGCGCACACGCAUGCACGAGCUGCGGGAGUUAAAUCGCACCCUGUUCUCUAUGUAGAGCGCAUGGCAUCGAGUGUGAAGUGCACCGUGUCAAGUGUCCGUAAAUCCCAUAAUGCAGUUCGUAGGGAGUAUGAAGCAGGGUGGAUGAAGUUCUCUGUGAGACGAAAUCGUCCAUAAAAUGUCUCGAAUGUAUGUCUCACGGCGUGUGUGUGUGUGUGCGUGUUUGUGUGUGUUUUCUCGUUGUCCUUCCGUAUUCAGCGGAGUUUCUCUCGGGCUUUUUAAUCAGCCGGGCCAGGCGUGUGCUCGGGAUUCUGGGAUCUUUGGCCGUCGUCCAUCCCGUCCUGUGCUCUCUCGCUCUCUCUCUGUCUGUCCUCCGUUUGUCUCGGGACGGAUCGAGUCUCUACGUCUUGGACAGAGUGGGCGGAGCGAUUGGACGGGGGCCGCUUUAGAAUCGGCUGCGUGUCUCUUCAAACCGGGUGAGAGGGCAGUUCCAGCAGGGAGGGGCGGAGCUUUGAGCCGGUUUCCAUGGUGAUGCAGUCGUCCUUGGCCAGCUGGCGUCGGGUGGCACUGAAGUAGGCAUUCAUCAGCUGCAUGAUCUCAGUCAGCUGAGAGAGAGAGAGAGAGAGAGAGAGAGAGAGAGAGAGAGAGAUUAGAACAAAAUGAUCCAGUGCAGUGUGGUGAAGAAGCUGAGAGAGAGAGAGAGAGAGAGAGAGAGAUAAAGAGAGAGAGAUAGAGUGAUUAUAGAGAUAAGAGAGAGAGAUGGAGAAAGUGAUCUAGAGAUAAAGAGAGAGAGUGAUAGAAGAAGAAAGAGUGAUUGAGAUAUACAGAGAGAGAGAUAUAGAAAUACACACAGAGGGAGAGAGAGAGAUAUAGAGAUACACAGAGAGAUACACAGAGAGGGAGAGAGAUAGAGAUACACAGAGAGAUACACAGAGAGGGAGAGAGAGUGAGAUAGAGAUACAGAGAGAGAGAUAGAGAUACACAGAGAGAGAUACACACACACACAGAGAGAGAGAGAGAUAUAGAGAUACACAGAGAGAGAUACACACACACAGAGAGAGAGAGAUAUAGAGAUACACAGAGCGAGAGAUAGAGAGAGAGAGAUAGAGAUACACAGAGAGAGAUAUAGAGAUACACAGAGAGAGAGAGAUAGAGAUACACAGAGAGAGAUACACAGAGAGGGAGAGAUAUAGAGAUACACAGAGAGAGAUACACACACACAGAGAGAGAGAUAUAGAGAUACACAGAGAGAGUGAUAUAGAGAUACACAGAGAGAGAUACACAGAGAGGGAGAGAGAGUGAUAUAGAGAUACACAGAGAGAGAUACACAGAGAGGGAGAGAGAGUGAUAUAGAGAUACACAGAGAGAGAGAUACACAGAGAGAGAGAGAUAGAGAUACACAGAGAGAGAGUGAUAUAGAGAUACACAGAGAGAGAGAUACACAGAGAGGGAGAGAUAGAGAUACACAGAGAGAGAGUGAGAGAGAGUGAUAUAGAGAUACACAGA